Molecule: antisense RNA, 121 nt
Filed under: Triticum dicoccoides
Lineage: Eukaryota; Viridiplantae; Streptophyta; Magnoliopsida; Poales; Poaceae
Description: lncRNA IsrR
Rfam family: Antisense RNA which regulates isiA expression
Source: RNAcentral
GAGCCCAGGUAUCAUAUACACCGCCAAAAUAAAGAGCCUUGAGUACUAGAAGAAAAGCACCUAGACCUAACAAAAUUAAGUGAAUACCCAAAAUUGUAGUCAUUUUAUUUCUAUCUUUCCA